GAAACUUUCCUCGCCGAACUUCGCGGCCGGGCGGGCUGGGGAGGGGCCCCGGCGGGCAGGGACGCCCCCGGCCGCAGCGGGGCAGGUCUCAAAUCAUCUCCCGCGCUGUUGGGACAGCACGCAGCGAUCUCUUCCCCAGCCAGCGCAGCACCGCCUCCGGUAGGAAGCUAAACAACGCCCACCAGCUGAAACCCAGCGUUCCAGAGCAAGAGGGUAGGGAGCUGGGUGCUGCUCAGAUUUCCAAGGGGGCUGAGCUAGGCAGAGAGUGUAAUUACCCUGUCCAAAGCUUAGAUGUUGAAAAGUGCUCCGGGAUCUGUAACGGCCAUAGGCAGCCAAGACCUGUGUGCAGGGAUGUUCCCUUGGAUUUUCAAUCCUGGCGCUAAACUGUCCUGCCCUUGCUUAGUUUGGGUUGUCUGAAUACAUAUAACCUCACCGUGGUGCUAUACAUUUUCUCUGGUUUAUCUCACUUAAGGGUCUCCCUAGUCACAGUUCAUUAUAGGAGCUAGUAGCUCAGAGAAAGCCUAGGGAGAGAAGAUUUUUCCCUUAAACCCAACCAUGGAUCCAUUUUAAAGUUCUAGUGAGUAAUGAGUAUUUCUCACACCUGUAGCUUGUCUGGCUACCCAGUAGAAAUAAAAGGGCAGGAAGGAGAGUAUGAAGUAGAAUAUGGCACUCUUUUGCUAUUUCAGGGGAGUUGAGCAUAUUUCCCCUUUUAGAUAACCUGGCAGGCAUGUGAUCCCAUGUUAACCAUAUGCCUUAACAAAAAAAAAUGAAACCUCAUAUUUAAAUUAUGGCUGUAUUAGUCCCUGAUGGCCGGUGAGAUUUUAGAGAAAAACAACAUGCCAACUGAAUUUUGGUUUCCAGAUGUAAUACACUCAGAAGAUUGUAAUGAGGGUCACUGAAGCUUCUAGUAAGGAUAUACAGAUUAACCUUCUGGGUGUUGUUGAUUUAAUUUCACUCAGUAAGUACAUGCAGCAAACAUAUGUCUUCAGAUUGAUCUACUCAGGCCGUAUCCAUCAACUAAAUAAACUUAUAUAUAACACUGAA
Taeniopygia guttata (zebra finch) is the source of this 1044-nucleotide non-coding RNA. NCBI's taxonomy places the organism in Eukaryota, Metazoa, Chordata, Aves, Passeriformes, Estrildidae. The record is from RefSeq and is a predicted model, not a curated record.